GGCUACGAUGACUAGGGGGUCUGAGAGGAUGAUCCCCCACACUGGUACUGAGACACGGACCAGACUCCUACGGGAGGCAGCAGUGGGGAAUAUUGGUCAAUGGGCGGAAGCCUGAACCAGCCAUGCCGCGUGCAGGAUGACGGCCCUAUGGGUUGUAAACUGCUUUUAUAUGGGGAGAAAAAAGUCUAUUUAUAGAUUCUUGACGGUACCAUAAGAAUAAGGAUCGGCUAACUACGUGCCAGCAGCCGCGGUAAUACGUAGGAUCCGAGCGUUGUCCGGAUUUAUUGGGUUUAAAGGGUGCGUAGGCGGAAGAAUAAGUCAGUGGUGAAAGCCGGUCGCUCAACGAUCGAAUUGCCAUUGAUACUGUUUUUCUAGAAUACGGUUGAGGUAGGCGGAAUGUGUGGUGUAGCGGUGAAAUGCAUAGAUAUCACACAGAACUCCGAUUGCGAAGGCAGCUUACUAAGCCGUUAUUGACGCUGAGGCACGAAAGCGUGGGGAUCAAACAGGAUUAGAUACCCUGGUAGUCCACGCCGUAAACGAUGUUAACUCGUUGUUGGCGAUAAAGAGUCAGCGACUAAGGGAAACCGAUAAGUUAACCACCU
Molecule: ribosomal RNA, 602 nt
Filed under: uncultured bacterium
Lineage: Bacteria
Description: bacterial SSU rRNA
Rfam family: Bacterial small subunit ribosomal RNA
Source: RNAcentral